UUAGAAUAUGUUGAAUUGCAGAAUCAGUUGAAUCAUCUAAUCUUUGAACGCACCUUGCGCUCCUUGGUAUUCCGAGGAGCAUGCCUGUUUGAGCGUCAUGA
RNAcentral lists this ribosomal RNA (101 nucleotides) under Ganoderma sp. GanO-10. RNAcentral's name for it is "partial 5.8S ribosomal RNA". It matches the Rfam family "5.8S ribosomal RNA", at positions 58 to 154 of the family's 154-position model. Rfam says of the family: 5.8S ribosomal RNA (5.8S rRNA) is a component of the large subunit of the eukaryotic ribosome. It is transcribed by RNA polymerase I as part of the 45S precursor that also contains 18S and 28S rRNA. The record is from RNAcentral. Lineage: Eukaryota; Fungi; Basidiomycota; Agaricomycetes; Polyporales; Polyporaceae.